Molecule: unclassified non-coding RNA, 339 nt
Filed under: soil metagenome
Description: partial contains 5.8S ribosomal RNA, internal transcribed spacer 2, and large subunit ribosomal RNA
Rfam family: 5.8S ribosomal RNA (bases 1-120)
Source: RNAcentral
GAUGAAGAACGUAGUGAAAUGCGAUACGUAGUGUGAAUUGCAGAAUUCAGUGAAUCAUCGAAUCUUUGAACGCACAUUGCACCUCUCGGUAUUCCGGGAGGUAUGCCUGUUCGAGCGUCAUUUGUACCCUCAAGCUCUGCUUGGUGUUGGGUGUUUGUUCCGCCUCUGUGUGUGAACUCGCCUCAAAACAAUUGGCAGCCGGCGUACUUGUUUCGGAGCGCAGCACAUUUUGCGAUCCAGAUCAACGUACAGCGGCAUCCAAGAAGCCUUAUUUAACGCUCUUGACCUCGGAUCAGGUAGGGAUACCCGCUGAAAUUAAGCAUAUCAAUAAGCGGAGGA